GAUAUGAUUAUUGGAUUAUUAUUAUAAUGUUGAACAUUGAGUAUUAGUAAUAAACAUUGCAUUCUCAUUUUAUAGACAAUCUACGUUUUGCUUUCUGUUGCUUUCUUAAUUUCUUUAGCCACCAACUGUAAAAGUUACUUAGUUUUUUUUUUUACGGCAAACGGCUAUUCUAUUACUCAAACUUGAGGUGGUCUGGAGAGCCAUACCGGAAUAGAACAACCAAUAAAACAUAAGGAUCUAUGAAAAGAACGUGCAUUCUUAGCUAGCGAAUCCGUAAUCUCAUUUUGCAUCUUUGGGAAGUAGCUGAUCUUGAAGUCUGAAAAACACAACCGAAGAGUUUGAAUGAUCUCCAGCUCUGUUGAGAAGUUAGGCCAAUCUUG
This 380-nucleotide long non-coding RNA is filed under the name Brassica napus (rape). RNAcentral's name for it is "long non-coding RNA (BNAP_LNC017227)". The record is from RNAcentral. Lineage: Eukaryota; Viridiplantae; Streptophyta; Magnoliopsida; Brassicales; Brassicaceae.